UACGUAGGGGGCAAGCGUUGUCCGGAUUUAUUGGGCGUAAAGAGCGUGUAGGCGGCCAGGUAGGUCCGCUGUGAAAACUUGAGGCUCAACCUCGAGAUGUCGGCGGAAACCCCCUGGCUAGAGUCCGGAAGAGGAGAGUGGAAUUCCCGGUGUAGCGGUGAAAUGCGCAGAUAUCGGGAAGAACACCCGUGGCGAAGGCGGCUCUCUGGGACGGUACUGACGCUGAGACGCGAAAGCGUGGGGAGCGAACAGG
RNAcentral lists this ribosomal RNA (253 nucleotides) under uncultured bacterium. RNAcentral's name for it is "partial 16S ribosomal RNA". It matches the Rfam family "Bacterial small subunit ribosomal RNA", at positions 524 to 776 of the family's 1533-position model. The record is from RNAcentral.